GGAAGUAAAAGUCGUAACAAGGUCUCCGUUGGUGAACCAGCGGAGGGAUCAUUAUAGAGUUUUAUAACUCCCAACCCUUUGUGAACUUACCUAUGUUGCCUCGGCGGGGCCUACCCGGUAGCUCUCCCUUUUGGGAGGACUUACCCUGUAGCCCGCCGGUGGAUUUUCAAACUCUUGUUAUUUUAACUAUAUCUGAGCGUCUUAUUUUAAUAAGUCAAAACUUUCAACAACGGAUCUCUUGGUUCUGGCAUCGAUGAAGAACGCAGCGAAAUGCGAUAAGUAAUGUGAAUUGCAGAAUUCAGUGAAUCAUCGAAUCUUUGAACGCACAUUGCGCCCAUUAGUAUUCUAGUGGGCAUGCCUGUUCGAGCGUCAUUUCAACCCUUAAGCCUAGCUUAGUGUUGGGAGUCUACGAAGUGGUAACUUGUUAUCCUGUAGUUCCCUAAAUCAAACGGCGGAUCUGCAGUAUCCUCUGAGCGUAGUAAAUUUUUAUCUCGCUUUUGUUAGGUGCUGUGGCUCUUGCCGCUAAACCCCCAAUUUUUUAAUGGUUGACCUCGGAUCAGGUAGGAAUACCCGCUGAACUUAAGCAUAUCAAUAAGCGGAGGA
This 603-nucleotide ribosomal RNA is filed under the name uncultured fungus. Its description in RNAcentral is "eukaryotic LSU rRNA". The stretch from base 219 to 372 matches the Rfam family "5.8S ribosomal RNA". The record is from RNAcentral. Lineage: Eukaryota; Fungi.